RNAcentral lists this ribosomal RNA (199 nucleotides) under uncultured bacterium. RNAcentral's name for it is "partial 16S ribosomal RNA". It matches the Rfam family "Bacterial small subunit ribosomal RNA", at positions 328 to 539 of the family's 1533-position model. The record is from RNAcentral.
ACGCUCGACACCUACGGGAGGCGGCAGUGGGGAAUAUUGCACAAUGGGGGAAACCCGUGAUGCAGCGACGCCGCGUGAGCGAAGAAGUAUUUCGGUAUGUAAAGCUCUAUCAGCAGGGAAGAAACUGACGGUACCUGACUAAGAAGCACCGGCUAAAUACGUGCAAGCAGCCGCGGUAAUCUGAGCGGGCUGGCAAGGC